This 448-nucleotide ribosomal RNA is filed under the name uncultured bacterium. Its description in RNAcentral is "SSU rRNA". It matches the Rfam family "Bacterial small subunit ribosomal RNA", at positions 26 to 518 of the family's 1533-position model. The record is from RNAcentral.
AGAGCGAACGCUGGCGGCAGGCCUAACACAUGCAAGUCGAGCGCUCGUAGCAAUACGAGAGCGGCAGACGGGAGAGUAACACGUGGGAACGUACCCUUUGGUUCGGAACAACACAGGGAAACUUGUGCUAAUACCGAAUAAGCCCUUACGGGGAAAGAUUUAUCGCCAAAGGAUCGGCCCGCGUCUGAUUAGCUAGUUGGUGGGGUAAUGGCUCACCAAGGCGACGAUCAGUAGCUGGUCUGAGAGGAUGACCAGCCUCAUUGGGACUGAGACACGGCCCAAACUCCUACGGGAGGCAGCAGUGGGGAAUAUUGGACAAUGGGCGCAAGCCUGAUCCAGCCAUGCCGCGUGGAUGAUGAAGGCCUUAGGGUUGUAAAGUCCUUUUAACGGGGAAGAUAAUGACGGUACCCGUAGAAUAAGCCCCGGCUAACUUCGUGCCAGCAGCCGC